RNAcentral lists this unclassified non-coding RNA (367 nucleotides) under Hevea brasiliensis (rubber tree). The record is from RNAcentral. Lineage: Eukaryota; Viridiplantae; Streptophyta; Magnoliopsida; Malpighiales; Euphorbiaceae.
UCUCCACUUCCAUUGCUUUAGUUAAUGUUUCUACCUUCUUCGCUAACAUCUCAAUUGCAUCAUCCUUAUCUUUGAGGCUUUGAUCUUUUUCAUGACAAGCUUUCCUCAAAGCUAUGACCUCUUUUUGCAGCAAAUCAUACAAUACCGCUGGAACACUAUCCUCUGUCUCUGCUGCUGGAAACUCAUUGGGCUUCUCAUCAGGAUUUCCUUUCCAAGAAUCAGGUGCCUCAGCAUCCUUGGUUCUGUCAGAAGGUUGGUUGAAUGAACGAUUGGGGCUGGUGCCAUUUAGGAGAGCCCUACUACCCCUAUCCAAUGAUCUUGUGCCUCCAUCAAAUGAUUUUGAUGUUCCUUUAGCAUGCUUAAGCAC